Molecule: ribosomal RNA, 324 nt
Filed under: uncultured eukaryote
Lineage: Eukaryota
Description: partial 18S ribosomal RNA
Rfam family: Eukaryotic small subunit ribosomal RNA
Source: RNAcentral
CCCUUAGAUGUUCUGGGCCGCACGCGCGCUACACUGAUGCAUUCAACGAGCCUAGCCUUGACCGAGAGGUCCGGGUAAUCUUUGAAACUGCAUCGUGAUGGGGCUAGAUUAUUGCAAUUAUUAAUCUUCAACGAGGAAUGCCUAGUAAGCGUGAUUCAUCAAAUCGCGUUGAUUACGUCCCUGCCCUUUGUACACACCGCCCGUCGCUCCUACCGAUUGGACGUUUUAGUGAGCUCCUCGGAUUGUCAGCCUGGCGGUUAAUCCUGCCUGGCUAGCGAAAAGACGAGCAAACUUGAGCGUUUAGAGGAAGUAAAAGUCGUAACA